GAUGAACGCUGGCGGCGUGCCUAAUACAUGCAAGUCGAGCGAACAGACGAGGAGCUUGCUCCUCUGACGUUAGCGGCGGACGGGUGAGUAACACGUGGUUAACCUACCUAUAAGACUGGGAUAACUUCGGGAAACCGGAGCUAAUACCGGAUAAUAUAUUGAACCGCAUGGUUCAAUAGUGAAAGACGGUUUUGCUGUCACUUAUAGAUGGAUCCGCGCCGCAUUAGCUAGUUGGUAAGGUAACGGCUUACCAAGGCAACGAUGCGUAGCCGACCUGAGAGGGUGAUCGGCCACACUGGAACUGAGACACGGUCCAGACUCCUACGGGAGGCAGCAGUAGGGAAUCUUCCGCAAUGGACGAAAGCCUGACGGAGCAACGCCGCGUGAGUGAUGAAGGUCUUCGGAUCGUAAAACUCUGUUAUUAGGGAAGAACAAAUGUGUAAGUAACUAUGCACGUCUUGACGGUACCUAAUCAGAAAGCCACGGCUAACUACGUG
This 497-nucleotide ribosomal RNA is filed under the name uncultured bacterium. Its description in RNAcentral is "partial 16S ribosomal RNA". It matches the Rfam family "Bacterial small subunit ribosomal RNA", at positions 28 to 507 of the family's 1533-position model. The record is from RNAcentral.